Molecule: ribosomal RNA, 253 nt
Filed under: uncultured bacterium
Lineage: Bacteria
Description: partial 16S ribosomal RNA
Rfam family: Bacterial small subunit ribosomal RNA
Source: RNAcentral
UACGUAGGGGGCGAGCGUUGUCCGGAUUUAUUGGGCGUAAAGAGCGUGUAGGCGGCUUGGUAGGUCUGCUGUGAAAACUCGGGGCUCAACCCCGAGACGUCGGUGGAAACCACCUGGCUAGAGUCCGGAAGAGGAGAGUGGAAUUCCUGGUGUAGCGGUGAAAUGCGCAGAUAUCAGGAAGAAUAUCCGUGGCGAAGGCGGCUCUCUGGGCCGAGAUUGACGCUGAGGAGCGAAAGCGUGGGGAGCGAACAGG